RNAcentral lists this ribosomal RNA (253 nucleotides) under uncultured prokaryote. Its description in RNAcentral is "partial 16S ribosomal RNA". It matches the Rfam family "Bacterial small subunit ribosomal RNA", at positions 524 to 776 of the family's 1533-position model. The record is from RNAcentral.
UACGGGGGGGGCAAGCGUUGUUCGGAAUUACUGGGCGUAAAGGGUUCGUAGGUGGCCCGCUAAGUCACACGUGAAAUCCCUCAGCUUAACUGGGGAACUGCGUGUGAGACUGGCAGGCUCGAGUGCAGGAGAGGAACGCGGAAUUCCAGGUGUAGCGGUGAAAUGCGUAGAUAUCUGGAGGAACACCGGUGGCGAAGGCGGCAUCCUGGACCGGCAUUGACGCUGAUCAGCGAAAGCCAGGGGAGCAAACGGG